GGCGUGCUUAACACAUGCAAGUCGAGCGAAGCACCUUGACGGAUUUCUUCGGAUUGAAGCCUUGGUGACUGAGCGGCGGACGGGUGAGUAACGCGUGGGUAACCUGCCUCAUACAGGGGGAUAACAGUUGGAAACGGCUGCUAAUACCGCAUAAGCGCACAGUACCGCAUGGUACGGUGUGAAAAACUCCGGUGGUAUGAGAUGGACCCGCGUCUGAUUAGGUAGUUGGUGGGGUAACGGCCUACCAAGCCGACGAUCAGUAGCCGACCUGAGAGGGUGACCGGCCACAUUGGGACUGAGACACGGCCCAAACUCCUACGGGAGGCAGCAGUAGG
Molecule: ribosomal RNA, 335 nt
Filed under: uncultured Ruminococcus sp.
Lineage: Bacteria; Bacillati; Bacillota; Clostridia; Eubacteriales; Oscillospiraceae
Description: bacterial SSU rRNA
Rfam family: Bacterial small subunit ribosomal RNA
Source: RNAcentral